Molecule: ribosomal RNA, 632 nt
Filed under: Vibrio parahaemolyticus
Lineage: Bacteria; Pseudomonadati; Pseudomonadota; Gammaproteobacteria; Vibrionales; Vibrionaceae
Description: partial 23S ribosomal RNA
Rfam family: Bacterial large subunit ribosomal RNA
Source: RNAcentral
AGGUUAACCAUCUAGGGGAGCCGUAGGGAAACCGAGUCUUAACUGGGCGUUCAGUCUCUGGAUAUAGACCCGAAACCAGGUGAUCUAGCCAUGGGCAGGUUGAAGGUUGAGUAACAUCAACUGGAGGACCGAACCGACUAAUGUUGAAAAAUUAGCGGAUGACUUGUGGCUAGGGGUGAAAGGCCAAUCAAACCUGGAGAUAGCUGGUUCUCCCCGAAAGCUAUUUAGGUAGCGCCUCGGACGAAUACUACUGGGGGUAGAGCACUGUUAAGGCUAGGGGGUCAUCCCGACUUACCAACCCUUUGCAAACUCCGAAUACCAGUAAGUACUAUCCGGGAGACACACGGCGGGUGCUAACGUCCGUCGUGGAGAGGGAAACAACCCAGACCGCCAGCUAAGGUCCCAAAUUACUACUAAGUGGGAAACGAUGUGGGAAGGCUCAGACAGCCAGGAUGUUGGCUUAGAAGCAGCCAUCAUUUAAAGAAAGCGUAAUAGCUCACUGGUCGAGUCGGCCUGCGCGGAAGAUGUAACGGGGCUAAGUAGUAAACCGAAGCUGCGGCAAUGUGCUUUUGCACAUUGGGUAGGGGAGCGUUCUGUAAGCGGUUGAAGGUGUGUGGUAACGCAUGCUGGAC